Molecule: ribosomal RNA, 447 nt
Filed under: uncultured bacterium
Lineage: Bacteria
Description: partial 16S ribosomal RNA
Rfam family: Bacterial small subunit ribosomal RNA
Source: RNAcentral
AACGAACGCUGGCGGCAGGCUUAACACAUGCAAGUCGAACGCCCCGCAAGGGGAGUGGCAGACGGGUGAGUAACACGUGGGAACGUACCCUUUUCUACGGAAUAACCCAGGGAAACUUGGACUAAUACCGUAUGUGCCCUUCGGGGGAAAGAUUUAUCGGAAAAGGAUCGGCCCGCGUUGGAUUAGCUAGUUGGUGGGGUAAAGGCCUACCAAGGCGACGAUCCAUAGCUGGUCUGAGAGGAUGAUCAGCCACACUGGGACUGAGACACGGCCCAAACUCCUACGGGAGGCAGCAGUGGGGAAUAUUGGACAAUGGGCGCAAGCCUGAUCCAGCCAUGCCGCGUGAGUGAUGAAGGCCUUAGGGUUGUAAAGCUCUUUCACCGGAGAAGAUAAUGACGGUAUCCGGAGAAGAAGCCCCGGCUAACUUCGUGCCAGCAGCCGCUGUAA